GAUGAACGCUGGCGGCGUGCCUAAUACAUGCAAGUCGAGCGAACAGACGAGGAGCUUGCUCCUCUGACGUUAGCGGCGGACGGGUGAGUAACACGUGGAUAACCUACCUAUAAGACUGGGAUAACUUCGGGAAACCGGAGCUAAUACCGGAUAAUAUAUUGAACCGCAUGGUUCAAUAGUGAAAGACGGUUUUGCUGUCACUUAUAGAUGGAUCCGCGCCGCAUUAGCUAGUUGGUAAGGUAACGGCUUACCAAGGCAACGAUGCGUAGCCGACCUGAGAGGGUGAUCGGCCACACUGGAACUGAGACACGGUCCAGACUCCUACGGGAGGCAGCAGUAGGGAAUCUUCCGCAAUGGGCGAAAGCUUGACGGAGCAACGCCGCGUGAGUGAUGAAGGUCUUCGGAUCGUAAAACUCUGUUAUUAGGGAAGAACAAAUGUGUAAGUAACUAUGCACGUCUGGACGGUACCUAAUCAGAAAGCCACGGCUAACUACGUG
RNAcentral lists this ribosomal RNA (497 nucleotides) under uncultured bacterium. RNAcentral describes it as "partial 16S ribosomal RNA". It matches the Rfam family "Bacterial small subunit ribosomal RNA", at positions 28 to 507 of the family's 1533-position model. The record is from RNAcentral.